This 290-nucleotide transfer RNA is filed under the name uncultured bacterium. RNAcentral's name for it is "partial 16S-23S ribosomal RNA intergenic spacer". The stretch from base 164 to 237 matches the Rfam family "tRNA". The record is from RNAcentral.
GGAGUACCGGAAGGUGCGCCUGGAUCACCUCCUUUCUUGAAAAUGAGCAGUUCACUCACGCGAACUAGCUCUACUACAAAAUCCUAAUCGCGCGGUGCGAGAGGGUAAACGCAGGAAAAGUAUUUUCUAUCACUUCUCAGUUGUUGAGGCUGAAAGACCGCUCGGGCUUGUAGCUCAGUUGGUUAGAGCACUGUGCUGAUAACGCAGGGGUCACAGGUUCGAAUCCUGUCAAGCCCACCAAGUAGAGGCUUGGGGGUGUAGCUCAGCGGGAGAGCAGCGCCUUUGCAAGG